AGCAAUUGGAGGGGAGAGGGAAGCAGUUAACCAAGAAAUCACCAUGUUGUUGCACCUAUCCCACAACCUUUGUUGAGCCACAUUAGGGGCAGGUCGGGAGCAUGUGCCAUCAACAAAACCAAUUUUGUUUUUGGCUGACAAAGCGACAAUCAUUUUACGUCUCCAGCCCCCAUAACCACUACCUGAGAAGGGAGUGGGAACAAGGGAGACCCCAGGAACAUCAGAUGAAUAUACAAAAAGGGGACUGGAAGAGUCUACAGAAGAGGAGGCACCAGUAUUUGUGUUAGAAGCCAUAGUCAAUUAACCGGCUUAAAAGAACAAUUUUCAACAAACAGAGUAUAACCAAAUCAGAUAUUCACACACAACAACCAACAAACAGAGUAUAACCAAAUCAGGUAUUAACACACAACACCAGAUAAUCACAUACAAUAUCGAAGCUAAGGACAGAGUUACGCUCCUUCUUCGCGACCGGAGAAGAUCGAAUAAUACCGAAGAUAAGGACAGAGUUACCCUCCUUCUUCGCGACCGGAGAAGAUCGUCCUUCAAACAACAGAGAAAACCCUAGGUAUAAAACCCUAGGUGUAACCCUGGAAAUCCUUACUGGAAAUGUGGUGAGGAACGUCGGAGAGGCACCCAAAACAUCUGCUGAGUGAGAAUCGAGCCACCGAAAAGUAGUAGAACCCUAGGUUAAACCACCAGAAACCCUAGAAGCCGAUAGGUCACCGAGAAACCACCCAAAAUCAGCAGAAAAACUCUCAGAAUGUUCGGGUGAAGAAAAUAUACUCAAAUAUCAUGACGAAAAACUCGGAAAAGCAUCCGAUCUAGGUCAGAACCAUCAUCGACCAUAAGGUCUCAGAAAAAUCCCCAAAAAAAAAUCUCAAAAAGAGAUAAACCAAGACAACGAGAUAUAGAGAAACAUAAUCGGAUCGUCGUGUAGGCUCUGAUACCAUAUAAACAUUGAUAUUAGACCGAAAAAUCAUAGAAACUGUUGAGAGAGAAAGUAGAGAGAAGACAGAGCGUUUGGAACUCUCUGGAAAUGGUAGAAAUAUUAUUACAGAGAAAAAUGAGAGGAAAUGAAAUCCGGUAGGUGAGAAAAUAUCUCACCUACAAUAUACACAUAUUACACACGGACGGGUCGGGUCGGGUGAUCCGGCCCAAAAUUAAAUA
RNAcentral lists this long non-coding RNA (1167 nucleotides) under Nicotiana benthamiana. Its description in RNAcentral is "long non-coding RNA (NBEN_LNC023349)". Lineage: Eukaryota; Viridiplantae; Streptophyta; Magnoliopsida; Solanales; Solanaceae. The record is from RNAcentral.